AUAAGGAAGACAAUCUGAACAAUGAAAGACUCAAACAUUCUUUGAAACAGUGGUGAUUGUUGGAUCAAGGGAAAAAGGGAUUUGAUAAAAAAAUUCUGCUAACAGUUGCCACCCAAUAGAAGGUUCCAGAUGCAAAACCCAAAAACACUACUAUAAAGACUUAAUGAAGACCUUAAAUAGAGGGACACGUCAUUCUAACAUUAAAAUAUCUCAUUUU
This 217-nucleotide long non-coding RNA is filed under the name Lathyrus oleraceus (garden pea). RNAcentral describes it as "Pisum sativum (pea) long non-coding RNA (PSAT_LNC013223)". The record is from RNAcentral. Lineage: Eukaryota; Viridiplantae; Streptophyta; Magnoliopsida; Fabales; Fabaceae.